UGUGCGUGUGCGUGCCCUCAUAUUCCUACCGUUGUGGACACAUUUGUAUGAUUUUGACCUUCGUUGUGGACACAUUUUUCGUUGUGGACACCGGAACAUGGUGUCCACAAAGAUCACACCUCCAGACAAGUCAGAGAGGGGUUAUCUUCCCUUUAAAUCAGGAACUGUCAACCAACGUUAUGGACCAGUGAAACGCACACCUUGACUGGUGAAUUAAACUUGUAAAUUUUAUGUUUCGCUCACACAGAGAUCCGUGCGGUAACCUGACACCGCAGUGUAGCAAUUAUAUUUACCGAGGCAGUCUGAAGGGCAAUUUGCAGUAAUUUCUGAUAAAACAGGCGAUAAUAUGUUUUAUGAACCCCAUCUGUCCCUAAUUUAUGUCAGCAGAGAAAGUUAAUUCAAUGCGGAAUAUUUCACAUGCCGGUUAAGACAAUGGGAAAGGUAAUGUUUUUUACUACUUCAUAGCUUGUUACUUAUAGUUUUUCCGUUUUUCUUACUUUAAUUAAUUUGAGAAAUAUGUAUUUGAUAUGUGUUUAAAGAACGUUGUUAAACAAUACAAUGCUACCAAUCUCUGAUUUCAAAGUGUUUUAAUAACAUAACUGAUCAUCAUGGAGAAAGAUUUAUAUGCUAUUGAUCGUUAGAUUUUUAAAUAUUGCGGUCUUACGCGAUAAGGAAAAAUAAUUUCAAAUAGUUUUUCUCUCACUUCUAGGCUUUACUUGGAAAAGUGGUUGUUAAAGGACAUGUGUAUCCAAUAAUGAAUCCAUACUGUCUGUUUGGAAGUGCUGACGGCUGUGAUAUAAUAGUUAAAGACACGAUUCCGACGCAUUUUCAAAUAGAGUUUAAUUCUGAGAAGCAGGCAUUCCUCAGAUGUUUCAAACUAGUUACUCUCGAUGGACAAGUCGUCAGCGGUGUGGCCCUUCUUCCCGAUGUUGCGGUCAUAUUAAUAAAUGGAAAAGAAUUCCAAAUUCUAUAACAGGUAUUUUUACAAUAAGUAUGAUGCAUCUUUAGCAAGCAAAUGUAAAAUGAAUUUGUAAUUUUGCAUUCAAGUAUUGAAGAAAAUACUAAGAGUAUACACAGUUGAAAGUAAUAUAACUAUUUGAACAACCAUAAUUAUGGGAGUGAAGGUAUGUCGCAGUGUCAAGGAACGGAACUGGGCUUUAACCAUUCGAUUCUACAGACAUUAUGUACAUCUA
Mercenaria mercenaria is the source of this 1193-nucleotide long non-coding RNA. RefSeq lists it as uncharacterized. The transcript is spliced from 3 exons. The record is from RefSeq and is a predicted model, not a curated record. NCBI's taxonomy places the organism in Eukaryota, Metazoa, Mollusca, Bivalvia, Venerida, Veneridae.